This 1419-nucleotide long non-coding RNA is filed under the name Apteryx owenii (little spotted kiwi). RNAcentral's name for it is "lncRNA (ENSAOWG00000017495.1)". The record is from RNAcentral. Lineage: Eukaryota; Metazoa; Chordata; Aves; Apterygiformes; Apterygidae.
CCGCCAGCCGCGGGGCGGCCCUGCGCGCGCGCUCCGCCGUUAACGGUCGCUGCCGCGCGGCGCGGGCCUGCGAGGCCCAGGGGCUCUCCGGCGUCCUUUCGCCUUGUGCUCCGCUCAGAGCGCCUUUGUUGGGGCUAGGGGGAAGGAGCCUCCGCUAAAGCACAAGCGAGCGCUUCCAGCCUGCCUCAAGUGCGUCUCCUGCCCUCUGCCCCAGCAGGCGUGCUCGCAGCAGGCUGUGAAGCCCGGCCUGGCUGUAGCACGCUGCCCCUUUGCUGCGGAAAAGCUUAGCGUCUUGCAGCUAUGUGGGGUGCCAUCAGAUGAUUCACCUUCAAGUAGCAUCAGUAAAAAUUCUCUUGGAUGGUUUCAAAGCUGGAUUAGCUUUUGGAUUUCACUUCUGGUGUUCUGUGUAUGCUACCACUACAGAAUUCCUAUUACAGCACCUUUUCUUCAUGUCACUCCCAAAACAUAGACAUUAUAAUUAGGUGUCUGCAUUUUAAUGAGCACUUGUAGCUGUAUGUAAAUACUUUAAAAUCACAGUAUAGCAGAGUUCUAAAAGUGUUAAGGGUUUUUUCUUUUGUGCUAUGUAAGAUGGAUGUGUUUUUAAUAUGGUAGAAAAGCUAGUACUUUCCUGGGCAGUAUGACAAUAUUAAAUAUGAAUUAAAGCUACUUCUGAAUUGUCUGCUCAAGUUCCACUGUGACCGCUCAGUGUUUAUUAAAUAAUUUAUUGAUAACAUCUUGAAAUCUGCCUGUGAUAAAAUAUUCAUGUAACUAAUACAGUAUUUUCAUGCUAAAACAGCAGUGAUGACUGGCCAUGUAAAAUACUUUUAGUAAACUCUUUUAAUCUAAAAUAAGUCUAGUAUUUCUAAUCACUUAGUAAUUAUUUAAAAUUUUAAUUUUCCAGAGGAUGAAAUUGUGUCCUAGCCCUGCUGUAAAAAUUGUUUUUAUAGGCAUUUACUUCAUAUGAUUUAAAAUGAAGUCCUAGAUAAUGAUUUUGCAUUUGAGUGUUUAAUUACUGAUGUCAAUACAUAAACAUCAUAACUCUACUCAGAUAAUAAUUAAACUUAAACUGGUAGUAAAGGAAGUUUAGCUUCCUGGAAAUUUUAUCUGAAACUUUUCAGUACAAACUGAACUCCACUACAAGUCUGCAUCUACUACAUGUUUGGAAGUAUCAAUAUCAGAAAUGAAACAAUUUAGUUUUAUAUAAGAAAGUUGGGCAAUAGAUAAUUUCCAUUUUUAUGCUGUGUACAUUUAGUUUUAUGGGCUUUGAAGAGUAAAGUGGUGUUUAUUCUUUUACUAGUUAGAAAAACUAUUUUGAUCUUUAGUUAUUUUUAAAUUCAUAAGAAAAGGCCUAAUACAGUUUUUGGCAUUUGCUAAUAUUUAGCAUUACAUUUAUUGCACAAACCAUAUUGUUUAAAAUCA